UACGAAGGGAGCUAGCGUUGUUCGGAAUCACUGGGCGUAAAGCGCGCGUAGGCGGUCGUGACAAGUCACUUGUGAAAUCUCCGGGCUUAACUCGGAACGGUCAAGUGAUACUGUCGGACUAGAGUACAGAAGGGGCAACUGGAAUUCUCGGUGUAGCGGUGAAAUGCGUAGAUAUCGAGAGGAACACCUGCGGCGAAGGCGGGUUGCUGGGCUGAUACUGACGCUGAGGCGCGAAAGCCAGGGGAGCGAACGGG
This 254-nucleotide ribosomal RNA is filed under the name uncultured bacterium. RNAcentral describes it as "partial 16S ribosomal RNA". It matches the Rfam family "Bacterial small subunit ribosomal RNA", at positions 524 to 776 of the family's 1533-position model. The record is from RNAcentral.